Molecule: ribosomal RNA, 492 nt
Filed under: uncultured bacterium
Lineage: Bacteria
Description: partial 16S ribosomal RNA
Rfam family: Bacterial small subunit ribosomal RNA
Source: RNAcentral
GGGGGGGGGGGGCGGGGGGGGUGGGGGGGGGGGGGCGGGCGGGGGGGGGGGGGGAGGUGGCGCUUACGGGGGGCGGGGGGCGGACGGGGGAGGAAGACAUCGGAAUCUACUUUUUCGGGGGGGAUAACGUAGGGAAACUUACGCUAAUACCGCAUACGACCUACGGGUGAAAGCAGGGGAUCUUCGGACCUUGCACGAUUGAAUGAGCCGAUGUCGGAUUAGCUAGUUGGCGGGGUAAAGGCCCACCAAGGCGACGAUCCGUAGCUGGUCUGAGAGGAUGAUCAGCCACACUGGAACUGAGACACGGUCCAGACUCCUACGGGAGGCAGCAGUGGGGAAUAUUGGACAAUGGGCGCAAGCCUGAUCCAGCCAUACCGCGUGGGUGAAGAAGGCCUUCGGGUUGUAAAGCCCUUUUGUUGGGAAAGAAAAGCAGCAGGUUAAUACCCCGCUGUUCUGACGGUACCCAAAGAAUAAGCACCGGCUAACUUCGUG